CUACGGGUGGCAGCAGUGGGGAAUAUUGCACAAUGGAGGAAACUCUGAUGCAGCAACGCCGCGUGGAGGAUGACACUUUUCGGAGCGUAAACUCCUUUUAUAUAGGAAGAAGAUGACGGUACUAUAUGAAUAAGCGCCGGCUAACUCCGUGCCAGCAGCCGCGGUAAUACGGAGGGCGCAAGCGUUACUCGGAAUCACUGGGCGUAAAGAGCGUGUAGGCGGAUUAAAAAGUCAGAAGUGAAAUCCUAUAGCUUAACUAUAGAACUGCUUCUGAAACUCUUGAUCUAGAAUAUGGGAGAGGUAGAUGGAAUUUCUGGUGUAGGGGUAAAAUCCGUAGAGAUCAGAAGGAAUGCCGAUUGCGAAGGCGAUCUACUAGAACAUUAUUGACGCUGAGACGCGAAAGCGUGGGGAGCAAACAGGAUUAGAUACCCCCGUAGUC
Molecule: ribosomal RNA, 439 nt
Filed under: uncultured bacterium
Lineage: Bacteria
Description: partial 16S ribosomal RNA
Rfam family: Bacterial small subunit ribosomal RNA
Source: RNAcentral